AGAAUGAACGCUGGCGGCAUGCCUAACACAUGCAAGUCGAACGAAGCCUUCGGGUUUAGUGGCGCACGGGUGCGUAACGCGUGGGAAUCUACCCCUUGGUUCGGAAUAACAGUUGGAAACGACUGCUAAAUACCGGAUGAUGACGUAAGUCCAAAGAUUUAUCGCCGAGGGAUGAGCCCGCGUAGGAUUAGGUAGUUGGUGUGGUAAAGGCGCACCAAGCCGACGAUCCUUAGCUGGUCUGAGAGGAUGAUCAGCCACACUGGGACUGAGACACGGCCCAGACUCCUACGGGAGGCAGCAGUGGGAAUAUUGGACAAUGGGCGAAAGCCUGAUCCAGCAAUGCCGCGUGAGUGAUGAAGGCCUUAGGGUUGUAAAGCUCUUUUACCCGGGAUGAUAAUGACAGUACCGGGAGAAUAAGCUCCGGCUAACUCCGUGCCAGCAGCCGC
This 446-nucleotide ribosomal RNA is filed under the name uncultured bacterium. Its description in RNAcentral is "SSU rRNA". It matches the Rfam family "Bacterial small subunit ribosomal RNA", at positions 26 to 518 of the family's 1533-position model. The record is from RNAcentral.